RNAcentral lists this ribosomal RNA (253 nucleotides) under uncultured bacterium. RNAcentral's name for it is "partial 16S ribosomal RNA". It matches the Rfam family "Bacterial small subunit ribosomal RNA", at positions 524 to 776 of the family's 1533-position model. The record is from RNAcentral.
GACAGAGGAUGCAAGCGUUAUCCGGAAUGAUUGGGCGUAAAGCGUCUGUAGGUGGCUUUUCAAGUCCGCCGUCAAAUCCCAGGGCUCAACCCUGGACAGGCGGUGGAAACUACCAAGCUGGAGUACGGUAGGGGCAGAGGGAAUUUCCGGUGGAGCGGUGAAAUGCAUUGAGAUCGGAAAGAACACCAACGGCGAAGGCACUCUGCUGGGCCGACACUGACACUGAGGAGCGAAAGCGUGGGUAGCAAACAGG